GGGGUGAGUGUGAGUGUGAGAGCGAGAACAGCCCCGCAGGUCCCGAGGCGCUGGCUGGGGACAAUGCCGCGGAAAGUUCCCAGUCCCCAGCCGCAGAUCUGCAGAAUUGAAAUGAAAUGUUUUGAGCUCUUCAAGCUGACUCGUCAGAAUCCUGGAGCCUUUUAAAAAAUGACGAAGUGCCCAAUGUGGAAAUCAUAGAUUUCAAGGAAGGAACAAGAAAAUUGAUGAAACAAGUUCAAAAGAAAGAAGCUUGGCCAAUUUGAUGUCAAUGGAAAUGCGUGAGAUUUUUAUUCAGCAUUCACACCUGAGCAAUGCUUUUGGUCAUGAUGUCAUACUAAGAAGAAACCACCUGAGAUGAGACUGUUAGAUGUUCAGAGCAAACAAAAACAAAAACAGACCAACAAAAAAAACCCAAAACAAAACAGAAGUUUCUGAAGGACAGCAGAAAUGGCUUUGCAGGACCACAACAACCACUCCCAGUCAUGAUGGAGAGAAGUGUUCAAUACCCACAGAUCCUGAACGUUGAGCUGAUUAUACUAACUAGAUGGGACUUAGUUUUGUCUACCGUGGGGUGAGCGUAUACUACCUGAGGGAACAGGUUCUCUAUGGUGAAGAUGGCAACUUGCUGACUCAGUCUCAGAAUGCGUUAAAUCCACAUAUUCUGGCAAGUGGAGUUCUGCUUCUCCAAUAUCUCUUCCAGACUAAGUCUCGAAAGGACAGUAAUUGAUCCACCCUGAGUCAUAUGCCCAUGUCCAAAGCAAUGAGUUUGGGAAAUUUCAUGACACACUCCUAAUUUUGUGGUAGGAGACACAUCAGAACCACACAAUGAGUCAGUCCUAUUUAUGAAAUAGAGGUUCAUCUAUCAGAUGAAAGGGAAAAAAGUUGUAAAAACAAAACAGAUGUUCACUAAUGGGGAUCUAUCUGAAUUUCACCUGUAACUACAAAUGCUCACAAGUAGAUUUACAGUUUUCCUAGAGUGUCAUGAAUUUAAAAACAUAUGCAUGGAAUCAUAAAGUAAUAUCCUAAUCACCUCUCACAACCUUUCUCUCCUUAACAUAAAAUGAGAAUAUUUUAGCAGCAGGAGAAGGAUUUUCAUUUAUAGACCUUUAUCAGACACUAAUGUAGGAUUGAGUUUGACCUGAUACAGUGUUCUAUCUCUGAGUGUUGUCACUCAGUUUUAUCAUAAAUAAAAUUUAUUUUAUAUGAUAUCAUAUAGAGAACAAAUUUACUUAUUUUUCUCAUGUAAUCAUGUAAUCAAUUGUUCCAACAUAAUCCAUUGAAUAGAUAUUGUGGCAUUUCCCUAAUUAUUUAUAAAGGCACUGUUACUAGAUAUGAAUAUUUAUAUAUGAGGAUAUGAAUCGUGGCUCUCUGAUUUGUUCAUUAUUUGCUUGUCUAUUCCUGUGCCAGUAUCAUACAAUUGGUACUAAUAUAGUGUUCUGAUAUUGACAGGAUGAAGUGCUCCUUCUAAUGAUGUAGCUUUAAAUUUGUCUUGGUUGUGCAUUUCUUUUUAUUCUUCCAUAGAGAUUUGUGGUUCAGUUGUCAGCUUUGAAAAUCACUUUUGGGAUUUGAAUUUGAAUUGCAUGAAAUUUGUAGACUAACUUGUAGAAAAUAGACAUUUUUAUGAUAUGAAUUUACACAUCCUUGUAACCAUGGGUGUGUUAUUUAUUUUCACUUUUGAAUAUUAUUGUGGGUAUUUAGUAAUAAAAAUAACAAUCGACGAGUUACAUGGUGGUUACUAUGUGACAGAUGUUGUCAAAGUUCCAUCCAUAUAUCAACUUAUUAUAUAUUCUUAUGGGAAGAGACCGUUAUUAUCUCCAUUACACAAGUAAGAAAAUCGAGGUACAAAGAGCUUAAGUAACAUGUGCUAAGUCAUAUAAGAGUAAAGCUUUAUUUGAAUCCAUGCAGUUUGUCUCCAGAGCUUGAAAUCCAUUUUAUUUUAUUUUAUUUUUGCUUUUUAAAAAAAAUUUUUUUGAGACGGAAUCUCGCUUUGUUGCCCAGGCUGGAGUGCAGUGGCACAAUCGCGGCUCAUUGCAACCUCCACCUCCUGGGUUCAAGCAAUUCUCCUGCCUCAGCCUCCCGAGUAGCUGGGACUACAGGUGGGCACCACCACGCCCAGCUAAUUUUUUGUAUUUUUAGUAGAGAAUGGGGUUUCACCAUGUUAGCCAGGAUGGUCUCGAUCUCAUGACCUCAUGUUCCACCUGCCUCGGUCUCCCAAAGUGCUGGGAUUACAGGCGUGAGCCACUGCAUCCAGCCUGAAAUAUUUACCAGUAUCUGAUAUUGCCUCACUAAGAACUUUGCCCAACUCCUUAGUGAUUCUACCAUUGGCUUAGUAUUUUGGAUUUUCUAGUAGACAAUAAUAUCGUGUGCAUAAAGCAAAUACAAUUAUUAUUACAAUAAAAUUUUUAAACUACUCAUUUGUACUUGCUUUCAUAAAGCCUUAGCUAAUUCCAACAAAAUAUUGAUUACUGUGGGAGAGAGUGGUAAAUCUUAUUUUGUACCUAAUAUUAAAUAAAAU
Molecule: long non-coding RNA, 2515 nt
Filed under: Homo sapiens (human)
Lineage: Eukaryota; Metazoa; Chordata; Mammalia; Primates; Hominidae
Description: PCDH10 divergent transcript
Source: RNAcentral